AUCGCUUCUCGGCCUUUUGGCUAAGAUCAAGUGCAGAUAAGGGGUAUCUGCAAGGUGUGAGAGCUGAGCUUCUUUUGGGGCCAGGUAUAUAUGUGUAUGUGUAUAUAUGGUGUAUAUAUAUAUAUAUAUAUAUAUAUAUGGCUUUUUUUUUUUUUUUUUUUUGAGCUGAGGGACCGAACCCAG
This is a small nuclear RNA of Rattus rattus (black rat), 183 nucleotides long. RefSeq annotates it as U2 spliceosomal RNA. The record is from RefSeq and is a predicted model, not a curated record. The transcript has a single exon. Lineage: Eukaryota; Metazoa; Chordata; Mammalia; Rodentia; Muridae.